GUCAGGUAGCGCCCCCUGGCAAUGCGGUCUAAUAACUCGUCUACCCGGGGCAUAGGGUAGGCGUCAGUGGUGGUCCGUUCGUUGAGCCGCCUGUAGUCCACGCAGAACCUGGUGGUCCCAUCUUUCUUAGGCACCAGAACUACAGGCGAGGCCCAAGGGCUGUCCGAAUGUUCGAUAACCCCUAGCCUGGUCAUCUCCUGUAUUUCCUUCCGCAUUCCUUCUCGGACUGCUUCAGGAGUACGGUAUGGGGGUUGUCGUAGGGGGUUCUGUCCGGGUGUCUCGACCUUGUGUACAGCUAGGGUAGUGUACCCGGGUUCUUGGGAGAACGUCGCCUGCUUCUCCCACAGUAACUGUCUCGCCUGUACCUUCUCUGCCGGGUUUAGCCGGUCCCCUAGCUGUACAAGACUAGUAAGGUCUGUCUGGGGGUCCCUCUCUAGCAAGUCAGGUAACGGUAAGUUCUCG
Pelobates cultripes (western spadefoot toad) is the source of this 462-nucleotide non-coding RNA. NCBI's taxonomy places the organism in Eukaryota, Metazoa, Chordata, Amphibia, Anura, Pelobatidae. The record is from the annotation of a GenBank genome assembly.